GCCAAUGUGGCAUAGUGGUUUGAGCAUUGGACUACGACUCUGAGGACCAGGGUUCGAUUCCCAGCUCCUCCA
This is a non-coding RNA of Phrynosoma platyrhinos (Desert horned lizard), 72 nucleotides long. The record is from the annotation of a GenBank genome assembly. NCBI's taxonomy places the organism in Eukaryota, Metazoa, Chordata, Lepidosauria, Squamata, Phrynosomatidae.